This 346-nucleotide ribosomal RNA is filed under the name uncultured Phormidium sp. RNAcentral describes it as "bacterial SSU rRNA". It matches the Rfam family "Bacterial small subunit ribosomal RNA", at positions 398 to 760 of the family's 1533-position model. The record is from RNAcentral. Lineage: Bacteria; Bacillati; Cyanobacteriota; Cyanophyceae; Oscillatoriales; Oscillatoriaceae.
CGCGUGGGGGAGGAUGUCUGUGGAUUGUAAACCCCUUUUCUCAGGGAAGAAGAAUCGACGGUACCUGAGGAAUCAGCAUCGGCUAACUCCGUGCCAGCAGCCGCGGUAAGACGGAGGAUGCAAGCGUUAUCCGGAAUUAUUGGGCGUAAAGCGUCCGUAGGCGGUUCAUCAAGUCUGCUGUCAAAGGCUACAGCUCAACUGUGGAACGGCGGUGGAAACUGAUGAACUUGAGUAUGGUAGGGGUAGAGGGAAUUCCCAGUGUAGCGGUGAAAUGCGUAGAUAUUGGGAAGAACACCAGUGGCGAAGGCGCUCUACUGGGCCAUAACUGACGCUGAGGGACGAAAGC